GAUGAACGCUGGCGGCGUGCUUAACACAUGCAAGUCGAACGGUGAAGCAGGAGCUUGCUCCUGUGGAUCAGUGGCGAACGGGUGAGUAACACGUGAGCAAUCUGCCCUGGACUCUGGGAUAAGCGUUGGAAACGACGUCUAAUACCGGAUACGAGGCGUGGGGGCAUCCCCAACGCCUGGAAAGAACUUCGGUCCAGGAUGAGCUCGCGGCCUAUCAGGUAGUUGGUGAGGUAACGGCUCACCAAGCCUACGACGGGUAGCCGGCCUGAGAGGGUGACCGGCCACACUGGGACUGAGACACGGCCCAGACUCCUACGGGAGGCAGCAGUGGGGAAUAUUGCACAAUGGGCGCAAGCCUGAUGCAGCAACGCCGCGUGAGGGACGACGGCCUUCGGGUUGUAAACCUCUUUUAGCAGGGAAGAAGCGAAAGUGACGGUACCUGCAGAAAAAGCACCGGCUAACUACGUGCCAGCCGCCGCGGUAA
Molecule: ribosomal RNA, 484 nt
Filed under: uncultured bacterium
Lineage: Bacteria
Description: partial 16S ribosomal RNA
Rfam family: Bacterial small subunit ribosomal RNA
Source: RNAcentral